Haliotis rubra (blacklip abalone) is the source of this 287-nucleotide long non-coding RNA. RefSeq lists it as uncharacterized. The record is from RefSeq and is a predicted model, not a curated record. The transcript has 3 exons. NCBI's taxonomy places the organism in Eukaryota, Metazoa, Mollusca, Gastropoda, Lepetellida, Haliotidae.
AGGUGACGUACAGUCAGUGUUUGUCUGCCAGCAGAUUUCAUCAAGACAGACGCAAAGAUAACGACUUGCAAUGAUGCUUCUCUUCGUUUGUCUCUUGUGCCUCCCACUGUCGGUUCUCGGUGAUGACAGAGACGCCCACCUGUAUAGAGUCGACAUCUAUAUGCCUCCCGAGAAGGGGAGGUACGAGACGGCGGCGAUACGUAAGAUUAAUGACAAACUGAACGAUCUUACUGACAUCAAGGUUCUCUUUUCAUUUAAGGAGCUCGGAAAUCCAAGAAUACUUCUUG